This 1578-nucleotide long non-coding RNA is filed under the name Homo sapiens (human). Its description in RNAcentral is "HSALNT0322570". The record is from RNAcentral. Lineage: Eukaryota; Metazoa; Chordata; Mammalia; Primates; Hominidae.
AAGCUAAGCGGCGCUGGUGAAGCGGCUCAUCAGGUCUAUCAGGAAACCUGAGAAUUGGAGUGAGAAUCCCAGUGUGGAAAAUCAGGAAAGAGGCUGGUAUGAGCGACAGAGAAGUCAUUCAGGAAAGAGGUUAUUGAAUUCAUUGGAGAAUGAAUGCUGUUCUGAAUUUGGCUAUGAAGUUUGUGAAUUUUUCCAAAUUGUCACAAUCUCCAAAAAAUUUUCCAUUAUAUUUACUGAAAAAAAUGCAUACAAGUGGACUCAUGCAGUUCAAACCCAUGGUGUUCAAAGUAUCCUAAGGGAAAUACCACAAAAUGUCUCAGAAAAUGUUGGUUGGAUAUCUAAAGUUUAAAAAGGAAGAGAACCACACCAGCUGGAGAUUAAAGAAGCAUCAGUAGAAUAUCUUAAGGGAAAUACUACAAAAUGUCGCAGAAGGUGCUGGAUGGAUAUCUAAAGUUCAAAAAGGAAGAGAACCACACGAGCUGGAGAUUCAGGAAGCAUCAGUAGAAGUCAAUGGCCAUUAAUAAAAACAUUUUUUAUUAAAAUAUUGAAUCUGAAUAGAAACCUCCUGUACUUCAUUUCUUAAAUCCCUUGAGGGUAGUAACUGCAUCUUCUCCAUUGAUAUAGCCCCUGCCAAGCACAGUGCCUGAAGGCAGGUCCACAGACAUUGGCUGAAUAAACGAGUGCUCUGUUCCCAGUCCGUACUUUCUCUGUGUCAUAAAAAAGCUGACAUGUCUGUGCUGCAUUUGAGGAUGACACUGGAUUUCCACAUUGCCUUUUCGCCUCAGAGCUUAUAUUACUUCCUAUCAAGUUAUCUCUCUGCCCCUCAUCGCAUCCCAGUGAGAAAGCAGAAAAUCCUAGAAAGUCAUUUUCCUUACUGUUCCGGUGGUGGCUCUUCACGCUUACAGAACGUUAGGUACACUGGGAACAUCACCUAGAGGGACACUGACAUCACCUCAUCAUAACAUAUGUCUCUGACAACUGUCAGGAGAUAUUCCAAGUAAAUGAAAAGACACCGUGAAUGCCACUUAGGGGUUCUACACAGGGAACUAUUAGUGACAAAAGCCUAUUUAUUCUCUUUGAGAUGGUAUGCUGGUGACCUCUAGUGGCAAAAUUGGUUCAAAAUCAGCUUCUAUUUCCCACAAAAUUUACUUCUUUAUUAAUUCAUACUUUAAUUUUAUCCUUUAGUAACAUUCUCUACUUGUGGAAUGUUCUUAAUUAUGCACAAUGAUUUGUGUCUGUUCAUAUCCAAGUAGCACAAUUUUGGCAUUUCACGAAAUCACAGAACUGUUGAGCUGAAAUAGUUCUCAAGGGACCUGUCAGUCUUAUUUCAUUAUACCUGGAAAAUGAGACCCAGAGGAGUCAAGUGGCUUGCCUGAAGCCUCACCACAAGGGGGCGACAAAAAGUCUUCUGACUCUAGCACACUGCCUGCCUGGUAGUAGAACCCAAGCGACUAAAGAAAAAAUGGGAUCUUGUUUAGAGUUCCAUGCGGAGGAAGAGCAUGUAUGCUGUCCUAUCCCUCACUAUUGUAUCCUGGGUGUGUGAGGAGCCUUUAAUUCACAGGUCUUUAGAGAGAGUAC